This 321-nucleotide ribosomal RNA is filed under the name uncultured Sandonidae. Its description in RNAcentral is "SSU rRNA". The stretch from base 112 to 321 matches the Rfam family "Eukaryotic small subunit ribosomal RNA", at positions 744 to 955 of the family's 1831-position model. The record is from RNAcentral. Lineage: Eukaryota; Cercozoa; Glissomonadida; Viridiraptoridae.
GAUUUCUGGCUUGAACCUGUCGUCCGGCCACGGUUUCGUGCGUCAGUGUCGGCUGGUCUGGCCAUCCUUCCGUGUGCCGUUGCGCUCUCUUCAUUGAUUGUGCAACGGUCGCGGAUCGUUUACUUUGAAAAAAUUAGAGUGUUUCAAGCAGGCGUUUGCUAUGAAUACAUUAGCAUGGAAUAAUGAUUUAGGACUUCGGUUCUAUUUUGUUGGUUUCUAGGACUGAAGUAAUGAUUGAUAGGGAUAGUUGGGGGUGCUAGUAUUCAGCGGCCAGAGGUGAAAUUCUUGGAUUCGCUGAAGACUAACUUAUGCGAAAGCAUU